CCUACGGGAGGCAGCAGUGAGGAAUAUUGGUCAAUGGACGAGAGUCUGAACCAGCCAAGUAGCGUGAAUGAUGACUGCCCUAUGGGUUGUAAACUUCUUCUAUAAGGGGAUAAAACGAGGCACGUGUGCCUUUUUGCAUGUACUUUAUGAAUAAGGAUCGGCUCACUCCGUGCCAUCAGCCGCGGUAAUACGGAGGAUCCGAGCGUUACCCGGAUUUAUUGGGUUUAAAGGGAGCGUAGAUGGGUUGUUAAGUCAGUUGUGAAAGUGUCCGGCUCAACCGUAAAAUUGCAAUUGAUACUGGCAGUCUUGAGUCCAGUUGAGGUAGGCAGAAUUCGUGGUGUAGCGGUGAAAUGCUUAGAUAUCACGAAGAAUCCCGGUGGCGAAGGCAGCUUCCUAAACUGUGACUGACAUUGAUGCUCGAAAGUGUGGGUAGCAAACAGGACUAGAUACCCUAGUAGUC
This 460-nucleotide ribosomal RNA is filed under the name uncultured bacterium. RNAcentral describes it as "partial 16S ribosomal RNA". It matches the Rfam family "Bacterial small subunit ribosomal RNA", at positions 338 to 795 of the family's 1533-position model. The record is from RNAcentral.